RNAcentral lists this ribosomal RNA (699 nucleotides) under Triticum aestivum (bread wheat). Its description in RNAcentral is "partial small subunit ribosomal RNA". Lineage: Eukaryota; Viridiplantae; Streptophyta; Magnoliopsida; Poales; Poaceae. The record is from RNAcentral.
AUGGAUCAUGCGGCGGACGCUUUCCGGACGGACCUGAUGACCAUCACGCGAUACCUGCUGAAGGAGCAGAGCAGGCACCUGGAGUCGCGCGGCGACUUCAUCCUCCUCUCCCACAUCGUCCUCGGCUGCAAGUUCGUCACACUCAACAAGGUCGGCCAAGCCAAGCUCAUCGGCCUCUCAGUUCAGAGCAACGUCCAGGCAAGCGCUUGUUUCCUCUCUUCAUCAAAGUUGUUCUUCCGUGGAGGAGCAGAAAGAAGUUGGACGUGCUCUCCCAACGAGGUGUUGGUCAAUGCCCUUGUCAGCAGUGGCCGCACCUGCGUUCUUGUGUCCGAGGAGGACGAGGAGGCUUCAUACUUGGACCGAAAGCUCCGUGGGAAGUACUGUGUCUGCUUUGAUCCCCUGGAUGGCUCCUCCAACAUCAACUGCGGCAUGCCCAUCGGAAUGGUUUCAUGCAUGAUUUCAGCUGCAUGUAGGUUUCGGUUUGUGUCCAAGACAAGAUUUCAUUAUGCUCUCGAAGGGUACAUUAAGAGCAUAAUUACUUCUGCGGUGAGCCGGCAUCUGGUGAGCUUGACGGGUGCCACGGUGGCCAACCGAUGCCCGCCGCGCGUUAACGGCGCGUCCGCGGUCGGAAACGGCGGCUGUCAGUUUGCGUUCAAUGCACCAAAACGUGGGAUCGGCCAUUUGAUGCUGAUCCUCUGA